RNAcentral lists this ribosomal RNA (476 nucleotides) under uncultured organism. RNAcentral describes it as "partial 16S ribosomal RNA". It matches the Rfam family "Bacterial small subunit ribosomal RNA", at positions 329 to 797 of the family's 1533-position model. The record is from RNAcentral.
ACGUACACUCCUACGGGAGGCAGCAGUGGGGAAUAUUGCACAAUGGGCGCAAGCCUGAUGCAGCCAUGCCGCGUGUAUGAAGAAGGCCUUCGGGUUGUAAAGUACUUUCAGCGGGGAGGAAGGCGAUAAGGUUAAUAACCUUGUCGAUUGACGUUACCCGCAGAAGAAGCACCGGCUAACUCCGUGCCAGCAGCCGCGGUAAUACGGAGGGUGCAAGCGUUAAUCGGAAUUACUGGGCGUAAAGCGCACGCAGGCGGUCUGACAAGUCGGAUGUGAAAUCCCCGGGCUCAACCUGGGAACUGCAUUCGAAACUGGCAGGCUAGAGUCUUGUAGAGGGGGGUAGAAUUCCAGGUGUAGCGGUGAAAUGCGUAGAGAUCUGGAGGAAUACCGGUGGCGAAGGCGGCCCCCUGGACAAAGACUGACGCUCAGGUGCGAAAGCGUGGGGAGCAAACAGGAUUAGAAACCCGGGUAGUCCC